AGGGAUUGCCUCAGUAACGGCGAGUGAAGCGGCAAGAGCUCAAAUUUGAAAGCUGGCUCCUUCGGGGUCCGCAUUGUAAUUUGCAGAGGAUGCUUCGGGAGUGGCCCCCAUCUAAGUGCCCUGGAACGGGCCGUCAUAGAGGGUGAGAAUCCCGUCUGGGAUGGGGUGUCCACGCCCGUGUGAAGCUCCUUCGACGAGUCGAGUUGUUUGGGAAUGCAGCUCUAAAUGGGUGGUAAAUUUCAUCUAAAGCUAAAUACUGGCCGGAGACCGAUAGCGCACAAGUAGAGUGAUCGAAAGAUGAAAAGCACUUUGAAAAGAGAGUUAAACAGCACGUGAAAUUGUUGAAAGGGAAGCGCUUGCGACCAGACUCGCCCACGGGGUUCAGCCGGCAUUCGUGCCGGUGUACUUCCCCGCGGGCGGGCCAGCGUCGGUUUGGGCGGCCGGUCAAAGGCCCUCGGAAUGUAACGCCCCCCGGGGCGUCUUAUAGCCGAGGGUGCCAUGCGGCCAGCCCGGACCGAGGAACGCGCUUCGGCUCGGACGCUGGCAUAAUGGUCGUAAGCGACCCGUCUUGAAACACGGACCAAGGAGUCUAACAUCUACGCGAGUGUUCGGGUGUCAAACCCGUGCGCGCAGUGAAAGCGAACGGAGGUGGGAACCCCUCGGGGUGCACCAUCGACCGAUCCUGAUGUCUUCGGAUGGAUUUGAGUAAGAGCGUAGCUGUUGGGACCCGAAAGAUGGUGAACUAUGCCUGAAUAGGGCGAAGCCAGAGGAAACUCUUGGUGGAGGCUCGCAGCGGUUCUGACGUGCAAAUCGAUCGUCGAAUUUGGGUAUAGGGGGCGAAAGACUAAUCGAACCAUCUAGUAACUGGUU
RNAcentral lists this ribosomal RNA (870 nucleotides) under Penicillium sp. RNAcentral's name for it is "partial large subunit ribosomal RNA". It matches the Rfam family "Eukaryotic large subunit ribosomal RNA", at positions 70 to 956 of the family's 3401-position model. The record is from RNAcentral. Lineage: Eukaryota; Fungi; Ascomycota; Eurotiomycetes; Eurotiales; Aspergillaceae.